Molecule: ribosomal RNA, 372 nt
Filed under: uncultured Rhizophagus
Lineage: Eukaryota; Fungi; Glomeromycota; Glomeromycetes; Glomerales; Glomeraceae
Description: LSU rRNA
Source: RNAcentral
UUGAAAGGGAAACGAUUGAAGUCAGUCGUACCUUCGGGUAAUCAGCCUUUCGGGUGCGAUUCUGUGGAGCGUGAGGAGUUAAACGCCUUCAUGCCUGCAUAUUCGUGCACUUUGGGUGUACUUGCCCGUGUGGUAGGUUAACAUCAAUUUCGGAUGUCAUAAAAUGGCUGGAGGAAUGUAGCUUCGGUCUCGUACUGAAGUGUUAUAGCCUUUGGUAGAUGUGAUGACCGGGAUUGAGGAUUGCAACGAAUACCUUUUGGGCUACCCGCCUGAUCUCUGAAAGUUGCUCUGGUGCCGAAAGCGUGCUUACGGUUAUCAAAGUUGACGUUCAAAAGGUUAGAACGGGUUAAAUUCGUUAAGGAUGUUGACGUA